This 97-nucleotide ribosomal RNA is filed under the name uncultured bacterium. Its description in RNAcentral is "partial 16S ribosomal RNA". It matches the Rfam family "Bacterial small subunit ribosomal RNA", at positions 395 to 508 of the family's 1533-position model. The record is from RNAcentral.
CGCCGCGUGCGGGACGAAGCCUUUCGGGGUGUAAACCGCUGUCAGUGGAGAAGAGUAGGGACGGUACCCACUGAGGAAGCAUCGGCUAACUACGUGC